GGGGGGGGGGGGGGGGGGGCGGAGCGGGGGCGGGGCGGGCGGGGGGGCGCUGGGGGGGGGGGGGGCUCGAGUGGCGAACGGGUGGGUAGCACGUGAGUAACCUGCCCGUGACUUUGGGAUAACUUCAGGAAACUGGGGCUAAUACCGGAUAGGAGCUCCUGCUGCAUGGUGGGGGUUGGAAAGUUUCGGCGGUUGGGGAUGGACUCGCGGCUUAUCAGCUUGUUGGUGGGGUAGUGGCUUACCAAGGCUUUGACGGGUAGCCGGCCUGAGAGGGUGACCGGCCACAUUGGGACUGAGAUACGGCCCAGACUCCUACGGGAGGCAGCAGUGGGGAAUAUUGCACAAUGGGCGGAAGCCUGAUGCAGCAACGCCGCGUGCGGGAUGACGGCCUUCGGGUUGUAAACCGCUUUCGCCUGUGACGAAGCGUGAGUGACGGUAAUGGGUAAAGAAGCACCGGCUAACUACGUG
RNAcentral lists this ribosomal RNA (468 nucleotides) under uncultured bacterium. Its description in RNAcentral is "partial 16S ribosomal RNA". It matches the Rfam family "Bacterial small subunit ribosomal RNA", at positions 35 to 507 of the family's 1533-position model. The record is from RNAcentral.